This 29-nucleotide small RNA is filed under the name Bombyx mori (domestic silkworm). Its description in RNAcentral is "ovarian small RNA-15331". The record is from RNAcentral. Lineage: Eukaryota; Metazoa; Arthropoda; Insecta; Lepidoptera; Bombycidae.
GACAACGGUAGUGCGGCGUGGGCCCAAGA